GAGGAGUCAGCAGUUUGCUGGCUGAAGCUGUAGGAAGAACAUCACCUGGCUGGAACUGCUGCUCAUAACAUCUUGGAGAUCUGGAGCACUUGGCAGUGAAGCCGACCAUUCUCUCCUUCACCUGGUUCAUGAGGCUAAAUGUUCCCCUAGACAUCUUACAGGAAUUCCACUGAUAAUUAUUGCCUCCACCAGUUAGAGCAAGGGGAGACAACCACAUUGGCAGGAGAGGCUGGGAAAGGAAGCUCAAGGCAGGUUUUUAAUCUGAUGUUUCCUCUCCAGAUCACAGACAUUUUUUUGGGAUUGAUUUCUUUACAGAUGUACUUCUGUAUGUUAUCAGCUUCAGGGAGAUGAACUGAUGGUGGAUGGGUGACAGGAAGGAAAGAAGCACAAGUCUGAGCAUAGGAAUUUUGCUAGCAGUUUCCAAAGCAGUGUAAAAGACCUAAAGUGGGAGCAGAAUAUAUGACUACCAAUGAUGGAUGUCAUUGAGACUGCAAAAAGAAAUGAUAUAAUGAAUGGUUUCUCUGACACAGUAGAAAAUGUUUGGAUAAAAGUGAAGGGUAAUAAAUAAACUCACAUUGGUAUAGGUCCCCAAGGCAGUGUGGGGUUAGAAAUACUCUCUGAUCUUCCUUCUGUAAAGGAAACAAGAAGGAAGGCAGGAGCAGUUUUGUAGUAAAUAUGAAUAAGUAAAGUUGCAUUUGGCUGCAGAGUCGACAUAAACC
Molecule: long non-coding RNA, 719 nt
Organism: Alligator mississippiensis (American alligator)
Lineage: Eukaryota; Metazoa; Chordata; Crocodylia; Alligatoridae
Exons: 3
Source: RefSeq, a predicted model, not a curated record